Molecule: ribosomal RNA, 253 nt
Filed under: uncultured bacterium
Lineage: Bacteria
Description: partial 16S ribosomal RNA
Rfam family: Bacterial small subunit ribosomal RNA
Source: RNAcentral
GACGAACCGUGCAAACGUUGUUCGGAUUCACUGGGCUUAAAGGGCGCGUAGGCGGACCCAAAAGUCCGGGGUGAAAUCUUUCGGCUUAACCGGAAAAUUGCCUUGGAUACUGUGGGUCUCGAGGGAGGUAGGGGCAUGCGGAACUUCCGGUGGAGCGGUGAAAUGCGUUGAUAUCGGAAGGAACUCCGGUGGCGAAAGCGGCGUGCUGGAUCUCUACUGACGCUGAGGCGCGAAAGCCAGGGGAGCAAACGGG